CCUGGCGGCCUUAGCACCGUGUUCCCACCUGAACCCAUGCCGAACUCAGAAGUGAAACGCCGUAGCGCCGAUGGUAGUGUGGGGUCUCCCCAUGCGAGAGUAGGGAACUGCCAGGC
RNAcentral lists this ribosomal RNA (116 nucleotides) under Escherichia coli. Lineage: Bacteria; Pseudomonadati; Pseudomonadota; Gammaproteobacteria; Enterobacterales; Enterobacteriaceae. The record is from RNAcentral.